UGGCGAUGGAUCCCCAGAACGUUUCUGGAUCUUUGACUGACAGUUCAUAUAAAUCUGAGUAGGUCUUGCCAGCGAGAUGCGAGCUGAGGUCCGGUUGAACCGUGCUGAUGCUGGACAGAGACCUGGCGUGACACCCAGGUGGCUCGUGACCGUUCCUCACAAGAGAGAGACAGGGGAAGCUGCAGCCUGGAGCAAUGGGCGUGCCAAAAGGGGGACCCUGCUCCACCUUUCCUACCACACACCUGAUGGAUACUGACUGUAAAAUGGCAAUCAUAGGAGGAGGGCUCACUGUGAAUAGAUGUGUGUCAGUGCACCAGCCUUGAUAAAGCCUUCAUAACAGCCUUCUGGAUGUAUUUUGUGCUCAACAUUGCAUAACUAAUACACCUGAGAAAGACACUGACUUUCCUUCAGAGGCACAUUCUCAACAUUAGAAGAGGGAGACAAGCACUGUCAGUAACUUUACUCUGAAUGAUAAGCAUUUUGUAUUAGAUCCUCAUGCCUUGACUGUACCAUUGGCCAAAGUGCACUCGAAGGACAUUCACUCUUUUGAAGGUUUACCCAACAUGUUGGAGUGGUACAUGCAUAUUAACCAAAUAUUAGUAUAACCUGUGGUAUAGAUGAGCACCAAUCACCUUUUUGUGAUUCCAUUCUUUUAGUAAACAUGCACAGGAACCAUAUGUACUUUUGGUACUCAGUGCAGAGUCAGCAGUACAGUUGUAUUAUAAUAUAAUGGAGAAGGUUCUGGCUGCAUGCUAGCAUCUCUCAGACACUUGUGCUUCGGCUUGUGACAACACUUGCAGUGUUUUUUAUUUUAUAUUUUAUUCUACUUAUUGGUUACUUCUUGUUUGAAUCUCUCAACAUGAGUUUUUUCUCUUGUGUAGGUAUUGUUGACUGCAAGUCUGUCCAUCCAGAUGUGAGGAAGACCCAGCAGGUGUGUCAUGGCUAUAGAUACUGUGGUCUUGGAAAGAAAGGCGUCUUCACAUCCAUCCAUCCAUCCAUCCAUCCUGAAAGCUAAAUAAAUGUUUUAGUGGAUAAUGUUGUGUCUGUUUGCUUAUGUCACGUAACAUAAGAUUACUAAACUCUUGACUAAUGUUUUAAUUUGAUAAUUUAGUGGUUUUGUCAACUACAUCUUUUUUUUCUUCCUAGCAAAACCUAGUUUUCUAGGGUAACACUUUACAAUAAGGUUUCAUUUGUUAACAUUUAAGUAAUGCCUAACAUUAACUAUGAGCAAUACAUUCGAUACAGUAUUUAUUCAACUUUGUUAGUUAAUAAAAAUACAGCUGUUCGUUGUUUGUUCUUGUUAGUUCACUAAUAUAAAAAAUACAGCUUUUGACUUUAACUUAAGAACAGCAGUUGGGACUAACCGUGUUAAGAGACUUUUGUAUUCUCAAAAAUAAUUUUAAUCUGUUUUUGAUUAUUGAUAAACUAAGACCUAAGCGUGAGGGGGUGAUGACGUCAGUAAGCCGUUUUAAAGGUACUUCUCGAAAGUAAUUUAAAAUAAUAUUCUUUAAAUCAUUAACGCUAUUUUUUACCUUGGAAGAAUUACAUUUGGUUUUAUAGGAUUAUGUGUUUAAUUUAUUGCUUUCUAUUAAUAGGCCAAUAAACAGCCAGUUUUCGCUAAACCUUUUGGCACGCCCCCUACCUUUCUUUCAACCAAUGAUAAUCAUUUUGACACGCCCACCUUUUGG
This is a long non-coding RNA of Carassius auratus (goldfish), 1688 nucleotides long. RefSeq lists it as uncharacterized. The transcript has 3 exons. The record is from RefSeq and is a predicted model, not a curated record. Lineage: Eukaryota; Metazoa; Chordata; Actinopteri; Cypriniformes; Cyprinidae.